UGCCGUUGAUGAUGUUUAAAGUAUCAUUGGGAAUCUCUCUGAGACUAUGUGAAAGAAUUUAGAUAACUGAAACGGUC
Oncorhynchus kisutch (coho salmon) is the source of this 77-nucleotide small nucleolar RNA. Its record names the gene SNORD79. It matches the Rfam family "Small nucleolar RNA SNORD79". From Rfam's summary of the family: snoRNA U79 or Z22 is found in intron 7 of the gas5 gene in humans and is also present in mice. The record is from Ensembl. NCBI's taxonomy places the organism in Eukaryota, Metazoa, Chordata, Actinopteri, Salmoniformes, Salmonidae.